Molecule: long non-coding RNA, 725 nt
Filed under: Brassica napus (rape)
Lineage: Eukaryota; Viridiplantae; Streptophyta; Magnoliopsida; Brassicales; Brassicaceae
Description: long non-coding RNA (BNAP_LNC017721)
Source: RNAcentral
GGACAUGAAGCACCCUAAUAAUUUACUCGGAAAUCAAAUUUCUAUUAAAGGUGUGUGAUGCGAUGGAGGGGACUGAGGAGUUUGAGUUCCAUAAAGAGUUCCAUUUCAAAAAACGUUUCCAGCUCAAAGCGCUUAAGUGAGUGUUCUCCUCAUGUAAGCUCAUACAUGCUAUGAUGACUAAACAGUCAGUCUCCAAGAAUAUAUGUUAUGUGAUCAAUGGUUGGUGGACACCCUCUGAGAUUUUGGACACUACUCUCCCUAAACGGUUGUUUGUGACAGAUAUGUUUCCAAGCAAACAAUUGAACAUUAUUGGACGAGAAUCACAGUUGUUUGGCAAUUAGUUUUUGGAUUUCGUGUACAGGUUGUGUUCUUGAUAAUGACGUUAAACUGCAUACAACUAUGGUGGGAUAUGCUUAACAUGGGAGAAGGAUUGAAUGAAAUUAAUGUACAUAUGAUAAUGAAUUGAUGGAGUAAAAUUGUGGAUCGCAACUCUUAUGUGAUGUGUGUAGAUGUGUAUUCACCUUGUAGACGAUAAAAUAGAGAUCAUUGUAUAUUGAAUGUAUGUAGAAAACAAUGAGGUUAAGGUUAGGCUUGUAAUGGUAAUAUAUUUUUCUACUUGUAUAUAUGAAAGAGGUUAUAGUACUGCAAUAUCACAAGGAAACAUGAUCCCGAAAAGAUUAUUUGGUUCAACGUAGACAAUAUAAAAUCAAGUAAGGUUUAAUGUU